This 451-nucleotide ribosomal RNA is filed under the name uncultured bacterium. RNAcentral's name for it is "partial 16S ribosomal RNA". It matches the Rfam family "Bacterial small subunit ribosomal RNA", at positions 29 to 523 of the family's 1533-position model. The record is from RNAcentral.
AGCGAACGCUGGCGGCAGGCUUAACACAUGCAAGUCGAGCGGGCGUAGCAAUACGUCAGCGGCAGACGGGUGAGUAACGCGUGGGAACGUACCUUUUGGUUCGGAACAACACAGGGAAACUUGUGCUAAUACCGGAUAAGCCCUUACGGGGAAAGAUUUAUCGCCGAAAGAUCGGCCCGCGUCUGAUUAGCUAGUUGGUGAGGUAACGGCUCACCAAGGCGACGAUCAGUAGCUGGUCUGAGAGGAUGAUCAGCCACAUUGGGACUGAGACACGGCCCAAACUCCUACGGGAGGCAGCAGUGGGGAAUAUUGGACAAUGGGCGCAAGUCUGAUCCAGCCAUGCCGCGUGAGUGAUGAAGGCCCUAGGGUUGUAAAGCUCUUUUGUGCGGGAAGAUAAUGACGGUACCGCAAGAAUAAGCCCCGGCUAACUUCGUGCCAGCCGCCGCCGUAA